This 929-nucleotide ribosomal RNA is filed under the name uncultured bacterium. RNAcentral describes it as "bacterial SSU rRNA". It matches the Rfam family "Bacterial small subunit ribosomal RNA", at positions 49 to 960 of the family's 1533-position model. The record is from RNAcentral.
CUAUACAUGCAAGUAGAACGCUGAAGAGAGGAGCUUGCUCUUCUUGGAUGAGUUGCGAACGGGUGAGUAACGCGUAGGUAACCUGCCUUGUAGCGGGGGAUAACUAUUGGAAACGAUAGCUAAUACCGCAUAACAAUGGAUGACCCAUGUCAUUUAUUUAAAAGGGGCAAAUGCUCCACUACAAGAUGGACCUGCGUUGUAUUAGCUAGUAGGUGAGGUAACGGCUCACCUAGGCGACGAUACAUAGCCGACCUGAGAGGGUGAUCGGCCACACUGGGACUGAGACACGGCCCAGACUCCUACGGGAGGCAGCAGUAGGGAAUCUUCGGCAAUGGGGGCAACCCUGACCGAGCAACGCCGCGUGAGUGAAGAAGGUUUUCGGAUCGUAAAGCUCUGUUGUAAGUCAAGAACGAGUGUGAGAGUGGAAAGUUCACACUGUGACGGUAGCUUACCAGAAAGGGACGGCUAACUACGUGCCAGCAGCCGCGGUAAUACGUAGGUCCCGAGCGUUGUCCGGAUUUAUUGGGCGUAAAGCGAGCGCAGGCGGUUUGAUAAGUCUGAAGUUAAAGGCUGUGGCUCAACCAUAGUUCGCUUUGGAAACUGUCAAACUUGAGUGCAGAAGGGGAGAGUGGAAUUCCAUGUGUAGCGGUGAAAUGCGUAGAUAUAUGGAGGAACACCGGUGGCGAAAGCGGCUCUCUGGUCUGUAACUGACGCUGAGGCUCGAAAGCGUGGGGAGCGAACAGGAUUAGAUACCCUGGUAGUCCACGCCGUAAACGAUGAGUGCUAGGUGUUGGAUCCUUUCCGGGAUUCAGUGCCGCAGCUAACGCAUUAAGCACUCCGCCUGGGGAGUACGACCGCAAGGUUGAAACUCAAAGGAAUUGACGGGGGCCCGCACAAGCGGUGGAGCAUGUGGUUUAAUUCGAAGCAAC